This 505-nucleotide ribosomal RNA is filed under the name uncultured bacterium. RNAcentral describes it as "partial 16S ribosomal RNA". It matches the Rfam family "Bacterial small subunit ribosomal RNA", at positions 28 to 507 of the family's 1533-position model. The record is from RNAcentral.
GACGAACGCUGGCGGCGUGCCUAAUACAUGCAAGUAGAACGCACAGUUUAUACCGUAGCUUGCUACACCAUAGACUGUGAGUUGCGAACGGGUGAGUAACGCGUAGGUAACCUGCCUGGUAGCGGGGGAUAACUAUUGGAAACGAUAGCUAAUACCGCAUAAUAUUGAUUAUUGCAUGAUAAUUAAUUGAAAGGUGCAAUUGCACCACUACCAGAUGGACCUGCGUUGUAUUAGCUAGUAGGUGAGGUAACGGCUCACCUAGGCGACGAUACAUAGCCGACCUGAGAGGGUGAUCGGCCACACUGGGACUGAGACACGGCCCAGACUCCUACGAGAGGCAGCAGUAGGGAAUCUUCGGCAAUGGACGAAAGUCUGACCGAGCAACGCCGCGUGAGUGAAGAAGGUUUUCGGAUCGUAAAGCUCUGUUGUAAGAGAAGAACGGGUGUGAGAGUGGAAAGUUCACACUGUGACGGUAUCUUACCAGAAAGGGACGGCUAACUACGUG